GACGAACGCUGGCGGCGUGCUUAACACAUGCAAGUCGAACGGAAAGGCCCUGCUUGCCGGGUGCUCGAGUGGCGAACGGGUGAGUAACACGUGGGUGAUCUGCCCCUUACUUUGGGAUAAGCCUGGGAAACUGGGUCUAAUACUGGAUAGGACCAUGCUGUAGGUGGUGUGGUGGAAAGAUUAGUUUCGGUAAGGGAUGAGCUCGCGGCCUAUCAGCUUGUUGGUGGGGUAAUGGCCUACCAAGGCGUCGACGGGUAGCCGGCCUGAGAGGGUGGACGGCCACAUUGGGACUGAGAUACGGCCCAGACUCCUACGGGAGGCAGCAGUGGGGAAUAGUGCACAAUGGGCGCAAGCCUGAUGCAGCGACGCCGCGGGGGGGAUGACGGCCUUCGGGUUGUAAACUCCUUUCAGCCAUGACGAAGCCCUUGUGGUGACGGUAGUGGUAGAAGAAGCACCGGCUAACUACGUG
RNAcentral lists this ribosomal RNA (469 nucleotides) under uncultured bacterium. Its description in RNAcentral is "partial 16S ribosomal RNA". It matches the Rfam family "Bacterial small subunit ribosomal RNA", at positions 28 to 507 of the family's 1533-position model. The record is from RNAcentral.